AUUAAAUGUUAAUGUGUGGUGCAUUCGUGAAUCUAAUAAGUUGCCACUAGUAUUUUGUGUUAUUUAUGUCAACAAGCAUCUAAAUUUCGUGCCAUUUAACUCUUAAACAAUCCCUUUAAAUGUUUUAUAUAUUAUGUUGUUAGAAGGUGUGGCCUGACUGCUGUAGUUAAUGCUGCUUUUAAAGUUUGGUUAUUCAUUAGAUUAGUGUGAUCUAUAGUUUUGUUCUACUCAAGCUGGAUGAUAUUAGCUUCAUGGAAAAUAUGUCCGUCAAUGAAAUAUCAUAUUUGAUACCUCUCUGGCAA
Molecule: unclassified non-coding RNA, 302 nt
Filed under: Hevea brasiliensis (rubber tree)
Lineage: Eukaryota; Viridiplantae; Streptophyta; Magnoliopsida; Malpighiales; Euphorbiaceae
Source: RNAcentral